RNAcentral lists this ribosomal RNA (168 nucleotides) under uncultured Pseudomonas sp. Its description in RNAcentral is "partial 16S ribosomal RNA". It matches the Rfam family "Bacterial small subunit ribosomal RNA", at positions 355 to 514 of the family's 1533-position model. Lineage: Bacteria; Pseudomonadati; Pseudomonadota; Gammaproteobacteria; Pseudomonadales; Pseudomonadaceae. The record is from RNAcentral.
UGGGGAAUAUUGGACAAUGGGCGAAAGCCUGAUCCAGCCAUGCCGCGUAUGUGAAGAAGGCCUUCGGAUUGUAAAGCACUUUUAGUUGGGAGGAAGGGCAGUAAGCUAAUACCUUGACUGUUUUGACGUUACCGACAGAAUAAGCACCGGCUAACUCCGUGCCAGCAG